GACGAACGCUGGCGGCGUGCUUAACACAUGCAAGUCGAACGGAAAGGCCCUGCUUUUGUGGGGUGCUCGAGUGGCGAACGGGUGAGUAACACGUGAGUAACCUGCCCUUGACUUUGGGAUAACUUCAGGAAACUGGGGCUAAUACCGGAUAGGAGCUCCUGCUGCAUGGUGGGGGUUGGAAAGUUUCGGCGGUUGGGGAUGGACUCGCGGCUUAUCAGCUUGUUGGUGGGGUAGUGGCUUACCAAGGCUUUGACGGGUAGCCGGCCUGAGAGGGUGACCGGCCACAUUGGGACUGAGGUACGGCCCAGACUCCUACGGGAGGCAGCAGUGGGGAAUAUUGCACAAUGGGCGGAAGCCUGAUGCAGCAACGCCGCGUGCGUGAUGACGGCCUUCGGGUUGUAAACCGCUUUCGCCUGUGACGAAGCGUGAGUGACGGUAAUGGGUAAAGAAGCACCGGCUAACUACGUG
Molecule: ribosomal RNA, 468 nt
Filed under: uncultured bacterium
Lineage: Bacteria
Description: partial 16S ribosomal RNA
Rfam family: Bacterial small subunit ribosomal RNA
Source: RNAcentral